GACGAACGCUGGCGGCGUGCCUAAUACAUGCAAGUCGAACGCUGAAGGAGGAGCUUGCUCUUCUGGAUGAGUUGCGAACGGGUGAGUAACGCGUAGGUAACCUGCCUGGUAGCGGGGGAUAACUAUUGGAAACGAUAGCUAAUACCGCAUAACAGUAGAUGUUGCAUGAUAUUUACUUAAAAGGUGCAAUUGCAUCACUACCAGAUGGACCUGCGUUGUAUUAGCUAGUUGGUGGGGUAACGGCUCACCAAGGCGACGAUACAUAGCCGACCUGAGAGGGUGAUCGGCCACACUGGGACUGGGACACGGCCCAGACUCCUACGGGAGGCAGCAGUAGGGAAUCUUCGGCAAUGGACGGAAGUCUGACCGAGCAACGCCGCGUGAGUGAAGAAGGUUGUCGGAUCGUAAAGCUCUGUUGUAAGAGAAGAACGAGUGUGAGAGUGGAAAGUUCACACUGUGACGGUACCUUACCAGAAAGGGACGGCUAACUACGUG
RNAcentral lists this ribosomal RNA (495 nucleotides) under uncultured bacterium. RNAcentral describes it as "partial 16S ribosomal RNA". It matches the Rfam family "Bacterial small subunit ribosomal RNA", at positions 28 to 507 of the family's 1533-position model. The record is from RNAcentral.